This is a long non-coding RNA of Hibiscus syriacus, 384 nucleotides long. RefSeq lists it as uncharacterized. The record is from RefSeq and is a predicted model, not a curated record. NCBI's taxonomy places the organism in Eukaryota, Viridiplantae, Streptophyta, Magnoliopsida, Malvales, Malvaceae. The transcript has 3 exons.
CCGUGCAUUGAACCCAAAACUGAAUUUGUUCAGUAAGCUCACUCUCGACAUUAUUCGGCUUGUCUCCUCCGAUCGGUGGUGUGGUACACCGUCGUGUCCUUCAGUCUCAGCAACGACCAUCGAACCAACCCCAACUAACCCAAUUCCAAAAUCGAUCACGGUUAGGCCAAACCGAGAAGAGAAAUAGACACCCAAAACCCCGAUCGUCGUUUUAAUUUUGUCGAUUCCGACCACUCCAACAACCGUCUUGUUUCGUCUGUCCGCCAUAGGUACUCGGGGAUCUCCAGACUGUUUCACUACUCGACCCGGUUCCUCCCGAUCCGCUCGUCCACGAGAAGCUGUGAAUACUCGUUCCCGUUCAGUCGAAGAGCCUAGUGAAGCUGG